ACGCUCGACACCUACGAGAGGCAGCAGUAGGGAAUCUUCCACAAUGGGCGCAAGCCUGAUGGAGCAACACCGCGUGAGUGAAGAAGGGUUUCGGCUCGUAAAGCUCUGUUGUUGGAGAAGAACGUGCGUGAGAGUAACUGUUCACGCAGUGACGGUAUCCAACCAGAAAGUCACGGCUAACUACGUGCCUCGCAGCCGCGGUAAUCUGAGCGGGCUGGCAAGGC
RNAcentral lists this ribosomal RNA (224 nucleotides) under uncultured bacterium. RNAcentral describes it as "partial 16S ribosomal RNA". It matches the Rfam family "Bacterial small subunit ribosomal RNA", at positions 328 to 539 of the family's 1533-position model. The record is from RNAcentral.